This 1147-nucleotide long non-coding RNA is filed under the name Nicotiana tabacum (common tobacco). RNAcentral's name for it is "long non-coding RNA (NTAB_LNC008385)". The record is from RNAcentral. Lineage: Eukaryota; Viridiplantae; Streptophyta; Magnoliopsida; Solanales; Solanaceae.
UAAAGAUUGUUUGUUUUAAAUUAAAGUCCGAGUCUGAGUCCUUCGUCUUUUAUAUGUUAGUGUAUUUGUUUUUUUUUUUAUAUAUAUAAUUACUCUGUCUAUUUUAAAACAAAGGACGAAAAAGAGGAGCAGAACCGGAAGAAGAUGGAGGAGGUGGAGAAGAAAGCUAAAGGAGGAGGGUACGUAGAUAAUCCACCAUAGUACUUCUAUAAUAAGAGAAAUAUAUAGAGGGAAAAAAAAAAGCAAGAUUGAAAGACGGCAUGGACGUAAAAAUCCAAUCCAGCGAAAGAAAAACACAGCACGACCUCGAAAAACAUUUACACGUCAUGUGAAUUAAGAUUUUUUAAAUAUUUUGUUAAUAAAGUAUUUAACUAAUUAAUUAUUUAGUAAAUAGAUUUAUGCUCACAGAAAGCGAAAUUUAGGUAUUCCUAAUCUUAAAAACAAAACACUAUCUCUAUCUCUAGGUUCACAAAGAGUAACAUUUUCCCAAGUAGAGUAAUGAUAAAUGACCAAAUGUACAUGUGUUUUUAGUGUAUUUUUAUCUCAUUUGUUGGCGUGAGUUGCUGGAGAUUUCAUGGUUUUUGAAGUAAAAUUUGCUCAUUUCGUGUUGCUUGUAUGUAAGAACGAGUUUGGAUGAAAGUGGAGUAAAGGAAGAAGAAUUGUCGGAAAACGGAAGGGAAAGAAAAGUUCCGAGAGCUCAUCUAUGUCAUGUGUCGCGAAGGCAGAUGCGCCAGGGGGGACAAUCGAGGUUCAAAACAGUGAAGUAUGGAGAAGGCAUGAAUCGCUUCGUGGAACAAAAAUUUGAAGUGUUGGGAGCUCGUCAAUGAGCCGCGCGAUGCGCGAUCAGCUCUCCUUUUCGAGAUUGAACUGAUUAGUUUCGCUAUGUAUAAACCUUAAUUGAUUUAAAUACAAAGUAAAAUGACUUCUUGAGGAGUUACACACCAUCUUAGGAGGCAAGAACGCAUUGAGAUCAAGCCGAAGUAUUCAACACGAGUAUUUCUCCUUUCUUCUUCCUAAUUUCCAUUAUUGAUUAUGAAUUCUAAUACUGUAUUUAUUCAUACUAAUAUGAGUAGCUAAUUUUCUUAUUUAGGAUUUUGAUGGAACUUUUUCUAGGAUGAAUUCUUGAUAUAUUUUAUUAUAAUUGAGC